CCUACGGGAGGCAGCAGUGGGGAAUCUUGCGCAAUGGGCGAAAGCCUGACGCAGCAACGCCGCGUGCGGGAAGAAGGCUUUCGGGCUGUAAACCGCUUUCAGCAGGAACGAAAAUGACGGUACCUGCAGAAGAAGGAGCGGCCAACUAUGUGCCAGCAGCCGCGGUGAUACAUAGGCUUCAAGCGUUGUCCGGAUUUAUUGGGCGUAAAGAGUUCGUAGGCGGUCGAGUAAGUCGGGUGUGAAAAUUCUGGGCUCAACCCAGAGACGCCACCCGAUACUGCUUGACUUGAGUUCGAUAGGGGAGUGGGGAAUUCCUAGUGUAGCGGUGAAAUGCGCAGAUAUUAGGAGGAACACCGGUGGCGAAGGCGCCACUCUGGAUCGAUACUGACGCUGAGGAACGAAAGCAUGGGUAGCAAACAGGAUUAGAUACCCUGGUAGUCCAUGCCGUAAACGGUGGGCACUAGGUGUGGGUUUCUAUUAACGAAAUCCGCGCCGUCGCUAACGCAUUAAGUGCCCCGCCUGGGGGNGGUACGGUCGCGAGAACGUAAACGUUAAAGGUAAAGUUAGUAACGGUCGUGUUAGAGUCGACGACGACGACGACGGAGGAGGAGG
RNAcentral lists this ribosomal RNA (612 nucleotides) under uncultured bacterium. Its description in RNAcentral is "bacterial SSU rRNA". The stretch from base 1 to 520 matches the Rfam family "Bacterial small subunit ribosomal RNA", at positions 338 to 873 of the family's 1533-position model. The record is from RNAcentral.